Molecule: transfer RNA, 75 nt
Filed under: Candidatus Nitrosopumilus sp.
Lineage: Archaea; Thermoproteati; Nitrososphaerota; Nitrososphaeria; Nitrosopumilales; Nitrosopumilaceae
Description: Nitrosopumilus sp. tRNA-Met
Rfam family: tRNA
About the family: Transfer RNA (tRNA) molecules are approximately 80 nucleotides in length. Their secondary structure includes four short double-helical elements and three loops (D, anti-codon, and T loops).
Source: RNAcentral
GCCGGGGUAGCUCAGCCUGGUUCGAGUGCCAGACUCAUAAUCUGGAGGUCGCGAGUUCGAAACUCGCCCCCGGCA